AUUGAACGCUGGCGGGAGGCCUAACACAUGCAAGUCGAACGGAUGGCGUGCGGGUGAGUACUGUAUGUGAAACUGCCUGAGGGAGGAGGACACCUACUGGAAGCUGUUGCUAAUAACGCAUACCAUCGGCUGUGCCGGGAUGGGAUUAGCUAGUAGGUUGGGUAAAGGCUCACCAAGGCGACGAUCCGUAGCUGGUUUGAGAGGAUGACCAGCCACACUGGAACUGAGACACGGCCCAGACUCCUACGGGAGGCAGCAGUGGGGAAUAUUGGACAAUGGGCGCAAGCCUGAUGCAGCCAUGCCGCGUGUAUGAAGAAGGCCUUCGGGUUGUAAAGUACUUUUAGCAGGUAGGCGGUACCUGCAGAAGAAGCACCGGCUAACUACGUGCCAGCAGCCGCGGUAAUAC
RNAcentral lists this ribosomal RNA (406 nucleotides) under uncultured bacterium. Its description in RNAcentral is "partial 16S ribosomal RNA". It matches the Rfam family "Bacterial small subunit ribosomal RNA", at positions 30 to 526 of the family's 1533-position model. The record is from RNAcentral.